GACGAACGCUGGCGGCGUGCUUAACACAUGCAAGUCGAACGGAAAGGCCUGCAGCUUGCUGCGGGUACUCGAGUGGCGAACGGGUGAGUAACACGUGGGUGAUCUGCCUUGCACUUCGGGAUAAGCUUGGGAAACUGGGUCUAAUACCGGAUAGGACAGCUGUUUAGUGUCAGUUGUGGAAAGUUUUUUCGGUGCAAGAUGAGCUCGCGGCCUAUCAGCUUGUUGGUGGGGUAAUGGCCUACCAAGGCGUCGACGGGUAGCCGGCCUGAGAGGGUGUACGGCCACAUUGGGACUGAGAUACGGCCCAGACUCCUACGGGAGGCAGCAGUGGGGAAUAUUGCACAAUGGGCGGAAGCCUGAUGCAGCGACGCCGCGUGGGGGAUGAAGGCCUUCGGGUUGUAAACUCCUUUCGACAGGGACGAAGCGUAAGUGACGGUACCUGUAUAAGAAGCACCGGCUAACUACGUGCCAGCAGCCGCGGUAAUACGUAGGGUGCGAGCGUUGUCCGGAAUUACUGGGCGUAAAGAGCUCGUAGGUGGUUUGUCGCGUCGUCUGUGAAAUUCCGGGGCUUAACUCCGGGCGUGCAGGCGAUACGGGCUGACUUGAGUGCUGUAGGGGAGACUGGAAUUCCUGGUGUAGCGGUGAAAUGCGCAGAUAUCAGGAGGAACACCGAUGGCGAAGGCAGGUCUCUGGGCAGUAACUGACGCUGGGGAGCGAAAGCAUGGGUAGCGAACAGGAUUAGAUACCCUGGUAGUCCAUGCCGUAAACGGUGGGCGCUAGGUGUAGGGGGCUUCCACGUCUUCUGUGCCGUAGCUAACGCAUUAAGCGCCCCGCCUGGGGAGUACGGCCGCAAGGCUA
This 858-nucleotide ribosomal RNA is filed under the name uncultured Actinomycetes bacterium. Its description in RNAcentral is "bacterial SSU rRNA". It matches the Rfam family "Bacterial small subunit ribosomal RNA", at positions 28 to 896 of the family's 1533-position model. Lineage: Bacteria; Bacillati; Actinomycetota; Actinomycetes. The record is from RNAcentral.